GUGAACGCUGGCGGCGUGCCUAAUACAUGCAAGUCGAGCGAACAGACGAGGAGCUUGCUCCUCUGACGUUAGCGGCGGACGGGUGAGUAACACGUGGAUAACCUACCUAUAAGACUGGGAUAACUUCGGGAAACCGGAGCUAAUACCGGAUAACAUGUUGAACCGCAUGGUUCAACAGUGAAAGACGGUUUUGCUGUCACUUAUAGAUGGAUCCGCGUCGCAUUAGCUAGUUGGUAAGGUAACGGCUUACCAAGGCAACGAUGCGUAGCCGACCUGAGAGGGUGAUCGGCCACACUGGAACUGAGACACGGUCCAGACUCCUACGGGAGGCAGCAGUAGGGAAUCUUCCGCAAUGGGCGAAAGCCUGACGGAGCAACGCCGCGUGAGUGAAGAAGGUCUUCGGAUCGUAAAACUCUGUUAUUAGGGAAGAACAAAUGUGUAAGUAACUAUGCACGUCUUGACGGUACCUAAUCAGAAAGCCACGGCUAACUACGUG
This 496-nucleotide ribosomal RNA is filed under the name uncultured bacterium. RNAcentral describes it as "partial 16S ribosomal RNA". It matches the Rfam family "Bacterial small subunit ribosomal RNA", at positions 29 to 507 of the family's 1533-position model. The record is from RNAcentral.